Molecule: ribosomal RNA, 429 nt
Filed under: Verrucomicrobiota bacterium
Lineage: Bacteria; Pseudomonadati; Verrucomicrobiota
Description: Verrucomicrobia bacterium partial 16S ribosomal RNA
Rfam family: Bacterial small subunit ribosomal RNA
Source: RNAcentral
UAGGGAAUCUUCCGCAAUGGACGAAAGUCUGACGGAGCAACGCCGCGUGAGUGAAGAAGGAUUUCGGUUCGUAAAACUCUGUUGUUAGGGAAGAAAAAAUGUAUAGUAACUAUAUACAAAAGAGACGGUACCUAACCAGAAAGCCACGGCUAACUACGUGCCAGCAGCCGCGGUAAUACGUAGGUGGCAAGCGUUGUCCGGAAUUAUUGGGCGUAAAGCGCGCGCAGGUGGUUUAGAAAGUCUGAUGUGAAAGCCCACGGCUCAACCGUGGAGGGUCAUUGGAAACUAAUAAACUUGAGUGCAGGAGAGAAAAGUGGAAUUCCUAGUGUAGCGGUGAAAUGCGUAGAGAUUAGGAGGAACACCGGUGGCGAAAGCGGCUUUUUGGCCUGCAACUGACACUGAGGCACGAAAGCGUGGGUAGCAAACAGG